RNAcentral lists this ribosomal RNA (1255 nucleotides) under Pseudallescheria sp. INBio_4505M. Its description in RNAcentral is "eukaryotic LSU rRNA". The stretch from base 361 to 1255 matches the Rfam family "Eukaryotic large subunit ribosomal RNA", at positions 1 to 921 of the family's 3401-position model. The record is from RNAcentral. Lineage: Eukaryota; Fungi; Ascomycota; Sordariomycetes; Microascales; Microascaceae.
AAAACUUUCAACAACGGAUCUCUUGGUUCUGGCAUCGAUGAAGAACGCAGCGAAAUGCGAUAAGUAAUGUGAAUUGCAGAAUUCAGUGAAUCAUCGAAUCUUUGAACGCACAUUGCGCCCGGCAGUAAUCUGCCGGGCAUGCCUGUCCGAGCGUCAUUUCAACCCUCGAACCUCCGUUUCCUCAGGGAAGCUCAGGGUCGGUGUUGGGGCGCUACGGCGAGUCUUCGCGACCCUCCGUAGGCCCUGAAAUACAGUGGCGGUCCCGCCGCGGUUGCCUUCUGCGUAGUAAGUCUCUUUUGCAAGCUCGCAUUGGGUCCCGGCGGAGGCCUGCCGUCAAACCACCUAUAACUCCAGAUGGUUUGACCUCGGAUCAGGUAGGGUUACCCGCUGAACUUAAGCAUAUCAAUAAGCGGAGGAAAAGAAACCAACAGGGAUUGCCUCAGUAACGGCGAGUGAAGCGGCAACAGCUCAAAUUUGAAAUCUGGCGGCCUCUGGGCCGUCCGAGUUGUAAUUUGAAGAGGAUGCUUUUGGCGAGGCGCCUUCCGAGUGCCCUGGAACGGGACGCCACAGAGGGUGAGAGCCCCGUAUGGUUGGACGCCGAGCCUCUGUAAAGCUCCUUCGACGAGUCGAGUAGUUUGGGAAUGCUGCUCAAAAUGGGAGGUAAACCCCUUCUAAAGCUAAAUACUGGCCAGAGACCGAUAGCGCACAAGUAGAGUGAUCGAAAGAUGAAAAGCACUUUGAAAAGAGAGUUAAACAGCACGUGAAAUUGUUGAAAGGGAAGCGCUUGCGACCAGACUUGUGCCCGUCGAAUCAGCCGCCGCUCGUCGGCGGCGCACUUCGGCGGGCUCAGGCCAGCAUCAGUUCGCUGCAGGGGGAGAAAGGCGAUGGGAAUGUGGCUCUUCGGAGUGUUAUAGCCCGCCGCGCAAUACCCCUCGGCGGACUGAGGACCGCGCAUCUGCAAGGAUGCUGGCGUAAUGGUCGUCAGCGACCCGUCUUGAAACACGGACCAAGGAGUCGUCCUAAUAUGCGAGUGUUCGGGUGUAAAACCCCUGCGCGUAAUGAAAGUGAACGGAGGUGAGAGCUUCGGCGCAUCAUCGACCGAUCCUGAUGUUCUCGGAUGGAUUUGAGUAAGAGCAUAUUGGGCCGGACCCGAAAGAAGGUGAACUAUGCCUGUAUAGGGUAAAGCCAGAGGAAACUCUGGUGGAGGCUCGCAGCGGUUCUGACGUGCAAAUCGAUCGUCAAAUAUGGGCAUGGG